RNAcentral lists this ribosomal RNA (508 nucleotides) under uncultured bacterium. Its description in RNAcentral is "partial 16S ribosomal RNA". It matches the Rfam family "Bacterial small subunit ribosomal RNA", at positions 28 to 507 of the family's 1533-position model. The record is from RNAcentral.
GACGAACGCUGGCGGCGUGCUUAACACAUGCAAGUCGAACGGGCCUUGUCCCCUUUUUUUUUGGGGGUGGGGUUAGUGGCGAACGGGUGAGUAACACGUGAGUAACCUGCCCCUCACUUCUGGAUAACCGCUUGAAAGGGUGGCUAAUACGGGGUGUUCUGGCCUGCUCGCAUGGGUGGGUUUGGAAAGAUUCGACCGGUUUUGGUUGUUUUGGUGGGGGAUGGGCUCGCGGCCUAUCAGCUUGUUGGUGGGGUGAUGGCCUGCCAAGGCUUUGACGGGUAGCCGGUCUGAGAGGGUGGGCGGUCACACUGGGACUGAGACACGGCCCAGACUCCUACGGGAGGCAGCAGUGGGGAAUAUUGCACAAUGGGCGCAAGCCUGAUGCAGCGACGCCGCGUGAGGGAUGGAGGCCUUCGGGUUGUGAACCUCUUUCGCCAGUGAAGAAGGUCCUGCUCUUUGUGGUGGGGUUGACGGUAGCUGGGUUAAUGAAGCGCCGGCUAACUACGUG